AAGUCGUAACAAGGUCUCCGUAGGUGAACCUGCGGAGGGAUCAUUAACACGUUUCCAAACGUUACCAACCAAACGCGAACUUAUGAAAAAAAAAACCCGACCUGGAAGAAAAGUAAUCGUUUAGUUCUAUUAGUGAUGGGCUCUUUCACGGAGCGAUAGAAUUGAACUUACAUAGCUCGACUAUGAAGAUGACUUUUCUCUCAGGUUUAACUCCAUUCUUUCCAUCACAGGAAUAAACAAACCCCUUUCACCCCCUAUGAUAAUUGACUGAAAUACCAUUUGACUGGGAGAAAUCCUGUUAAAUGAUUAAAAAAACUAAAAGCACAACUCUUAGCAACGGAUAUCUUGGUUCUC
This 354-nucleotide unclassified non-coding RNA is filed under the name fungal sp. RNAcentral's name for it is "partial internal transcribed spacer region". The stretch from base 1 to 46 matches the Rfam family "Eukaryotic small subunit ribosomal RNA", at positions 1786 to 1831 of the family's 1831-position model. Lineage: Eukaryota; Fungi. The record is from RNAcentral.